This 468-nucleotide ribosomal RNA is filed under the name uncultured bacterium. Its description in RNAcentral is "partial 16S ribosomal RNA". It matches the Rfam family "Bacterial small subunit ribosomal RNA", at positions 28 to 507 of the family's 1533-position model. The record is from RNAcentral.
GACGAACGCUGGCGGCGUGCUUAACACAUGCAAGUCGAACGGAAAGGCCCUGCGGUUGUGGGGUGCUCGAGUGGCGAACGGGUGAGUAACACGUGAGUAACCUGCCCUUGACUUUGGGAUAACUUCAGGAAACUGGGGCUCAUACCGGAUAGGAGCUCCUGCUGCAUGGUGGGGGUUGGAAAGUUUCGGCUGUUGGGGAUGGACUCGCGGCUUAUCAGAUUGUUGGUGGGGUAGUGGCUUACCAAGGCUUUGACGGGUAGCCGGCCUGGGAGGGGGACCGGCUACACUGGGACGGAGAUACGGCCCAGACUCCUACGGGAGGCAGCAGUGGGGAAUAGUGCACAAUGGGCUGAAGCCAGAUGCAGCAACGCCGCGUGCGGGAUGACGGCCUUCGGGUUGUAAACCGCUUUCGCCUGUGACGAAGCGUGAGUGACGGUAAUGGGUAAAGAAGCACCGGCUAACUACGUG